This 203-nucleotide long non-coding RNA is filed under the name Capsicum annuum. RNAcentral describes it as "long non-coding RNA (CANN_LNC012831)". Lineage: Eukaryota; Viridiplantae; Streptophyta; Magnoliopsida; Solanales; Solanaceae. The record is from RNAcentral.
UGAGGAUGUUUUCUUUUCUAACAUUAACUAGUUUGUUGUUUUUUGUGUUUUUGUUUUAGAAUUUCUUUUGUUAGGAACUAUAGCAUUAGAAAAGGUGACCAUGAACAAUUUGAUGGCAGCCAUAAUGGGUAUGAAACAUGACCUUAGUAGCUGAAUAGAGAGAAUGGAAAAAAUAAUGGACCGAAUAGAAGGAAGAAUGGAAG